GAUCAUUCAUGCAAAAUUUCAUUCAAAUUGAUGAUCAUUUAGGUACCGAAUUAGGUUAAAUUAAUGAACGAACCAUAAAUAUGUCUAACCAGAACUGUUUGUAUAAUUCACGAUUAUGAACAGCCAAACGAUUAUGAACAGUAGAGAUGUGAAAAUAUGACCGAAAAAUGUGUCAAAUAAAGAACUUCACACUUUAAUUUCAGAGCACAACUUCGCUCGCUCUGGAUAGGAAUUAUCUAUCCAUAUCGCUCUAUUCUCCCUCUAAUGGGUUUAUUUGCCAUUUUAUUGUCAAAAUCCAUAUGUCUCUUCCUGCACCCAAUAGAUUCCAUAUUGUCCUCAAUAAAUCACAUAUUGCAUCUAAAAGACUCUUUUAUUGUCCCUAAUAGACCCCUGUACUGCACCCAAUAGACACUCCGACAGACCCCAUAUUACCUCCAAUAGACCCCAUACUACCCUCAAUUCACCCCCAGACAGACCCCUUAUUGGCCCCAAUAGACCCCCUACUGCCCUCUAAUAGAUCACAUACUACCCCCAAUAGACCUCCUUACUGCCCCAAUAGACCCGGCCCCCUAGCCUGCUGCCUCCAGUAGACCCUCUACUGCCCCAAAUAGACCCCCCUACUUGUAACAGCCCAGUCCCUACCAUUGAGAUUUUGUUCUUGAGGUUUCACCCCAAAACGCGUCUCAAUGUACGUAAGGUGCUAGCUCUGCACAUAGAAGCAUAGCAACUUGUCUCCCCCGGGUCUCGCCCGAGCGAUGUGGGACGGGUGCACCUACUAGCUUGCCUGCCUAGUUAGGUCACCACAAUCCACCUCCCUUUAGGGCCCAAUGUCUGGGUAGACACUUCCGGCCGGGGACAGGCUCUGAUACCAUCUGUAACAGUGCAGUCCUUACCAUUGAGAUAUUGUCUGCUUUAAGCCCACCGGCCCUCAUGGUUUUGUUCUUGAGGUUUCACCCCAAAACGCGUCUCAAUGUACGUAAGGUGCUAGCUCUGCACAUAUAAGCAUAGCAACUUGUCUCCCCCGGGCGAUGUGGGAUGGGUGCACCUACUAGCUUGCCUGCCUAGUUAGGUCACCACACUACUGCCCCAAUAGAUCCCCUUACUGCCCCUAAUAGAUGCGGCCCCCUACUCCUCUCAAUAGACCCGACCCCUCACUGCCCCUAAUAGAGUCCUUAUUGCCAGAGUCCGGUCAACAUCAUUGGUCGUGGGAAUUUGAUUAUAGAAUCUUUAUUUCAUUAUAGACUUUUAUAAUGGUUUAUUGUAGUUUAUCUAAUUCAUUAAGGAUAAUUGUUUUUUUUGUUGUAUAAGUUGACUCUUGGGAAUUUAAAAAUCUGAUUUUGUUAGUGGGAAGAAAAAUCUUAAAUUUAGUGGGCGAGGUCCCGCAGGAGGUUAAGGACAUGGUCCACAACGCGAUGUCGGUGAGUUUACAAAAUAAUAUUAUGUAUUACAUUGUUGAUUUCUCGAAAAACUAAACCAAUAAACGGUUAAAUACAGGUGUGGUUUGAGAUUCCCGAGCACCUGAAGGACAGCUAGGCCGACGUUGUGCAUGGGGGAAAGUACGUUGGGAAGUUAAUGAAAAACAAAAUUGUAUGUGAUAUUAAUAAUAUUUCUAAUAUUUUUGUUGUAUUUGUAGGUACAAGGAGUGGAAGAACGAGUUGCGGACCCACUGGACUACGCACGGGAACGCACGUUCUGGUACCCCUGCUGAGUUCCAGUACAGGGAGUACGAGUGGCGUUGGCUUCUGACAUCAGAAUUCAACAACCCUCGUAAACAGGUAUUUAAAAAAAUUAAUUAGUUAAUUUGUCAUUAAGUACGUCCGUUUUUAAAUAUUUUACUAAUAAUUUAUUUUUUUCUUUGAAGGCCGUUUCCCGAGCGAACUCUCAGAACCGGCAACGCAACACAAGGAACCAUCAUGGCGGUUUUAGACCGUUUGCUGUCUUCAUGGACGAGGUGGCCAGGGAACAUCCAGAAGUCAACCGGUACGUCUAUACGUACGAGAAGGCAUAUCCUGACUCCCACGAGGAUAUUUUAAGUCAUCUUACGUUUUUAAAUUUUUAAAUUUACUUAUAUAUAUGUCAAAAUAUUAAUUAAUAAUUUUUUUCCUAUCCAUAUAGGCGAAGGUGAGGGAGGCUAGUGACGAGGUGAUGAGUGCUAUAGCGAGGGAGACAUGGCCGGACACGCAGGAGGAAGAGAUGUUCGAAGCCAUGUCCCAGAUCGACACUUCGGAUCUGACAAUUGGGGCGAGGAUCAUGGGCACAGCCUUCCCAUCGAGAGCAAACAACUUCUACUGCCGGGGUCUAGGAAAGAAAGGCGAGGGGGUCCUGAAGACCACUCCAGGAUUUCAACAAAAGGCAGCCUCGACCAGCAGCAGGACCACGUCCACGACCACCAGGACGACUCAGCUAGAGUCGGAAGUUCAGAGACUACGAGAACAGCAAGCUGCUCAGGCUGCCUAUAAUGCCUCGCAGGCAGCCUAUAAUGCCGCGCAGGCAGCCUAUGUUGCCGAGAUACAUGCCAUCCAGCAGGCCCAGCAGCAGCAGAUGUUCCAGUACAUGCAGGACUUUACAGCUGCCCAGCUUCAGGGACUUCCGGCUCCGCCCAUACCGCUACCCCAGCCGCCGCAACCUCCGCAACAGCCCCCAGAAGCGGAUAUUAAUUUAGACGAUUUAGAUUUUCUGUAGUUGAUGAAUGAAUUAUAUAGUUUUAUGUGCUUGUUGUUGGUUAUAUAGAAUUGUUUUGGUGUAUUUUGCAGCUUGCUUGGAAUGGUAAUUCAGAAAUUUCGGGGGUUUUUUUUUUAACUGGAAUGGACUUAUAGCCGACGAAAAACGCCUUAAUUCGUCGGCUAAAGUUUUUAUUUUUUUUAAAAUAAGUUUUAGGUGAUGAAAUACGCUUUAAUUCGUCGGCUAAAUCCCUAUAAAGCCGACGAAAUAGACUAUAUUUCGUCGGCUAUAGAUGUUUUUUAAUUUUUUUAUUACAAUGACACGACCCACCCCGAAUUUCACCCUGAAACCCAGAGUAAGUCGUGCGGGGACCACCUCCAAGGAAAAUUUACUGAAAAGAUUAAGAAAAUCUCCCUUGCAGAUGGACAACCCUAACUCGAAAAUUUCAUAUUACACUCUUAAUUUAACGCUUCUGAAUAUCACAUAAUAUACAAAAUUCUAAAGUAUUCAGAGCUACUAAACACAAGCGGAAGCAAGAAAACACAAGUAGGUUGAACAGGUAACCUACUGACGAAAACUGGCCGAAAAGCGGGUGACUAUGCCUCGUCUCCUACUAGAUCCAACCCGAACUCUGCAGACUGGGCAAUUUAAAACGAAGGGCCCAGGGGAAAACAUUUAAUAACGUUAGAGUGAGUGGACAAAAAUAAAUUAAUAAUUAAAAUA
Molecule: long non-coding RNA, 3384 nt
Filed under: Fragaria vesca (wild strawberry)
Lineage: Eukaryota; Viridiplantae; Streptophyta; Magnoliopsida; Rosales; Rosaceae
Description: long non-coding RNA (FVES_LNC000990)
Source: RNAcentral